Molecule: ribosomal RNA, 108 nt
Filed under: uncultured eukaryote
Lineage: Eukaryota
Description: partial small subunit ribosomal RNA
Rfam family: Eukaryotic small subunit ribosomal RNA
Source: RNAcentral
UCGCACCUACCGAUUGAAUGUUUCGGUGAAAAUCUCGGACCGCGACAUCGCCGCCUCGGUGGCUUUGCUGUGGAAAGUUAUUUAAACCUCAACAUUUAGAGGAAGGUG